This 492-nucleotide ribosomal RNA is filed under the name uncultured bacterium. Its description in RNAcentral is "partial 16S ribosomal RNA". It matches the Rfam family "Bacterial small subunit ribosomal RNA", at positions 29 to 507 of the family's 1533-position model. The record is from RNAcentral.
AGUGAACGCUGGCGGUAGGCCUAACACAUGCAAGUCGAACGGCAGCACAGUAAGAGCUUGCUCUUACGGGUGGCGAGUGGCGGACGGGUGAGGAAUACAUCGGAAUCUACUUUUUCGUGGGGGAUAACGUAGGGAAACUUACGCUAAUACCGCAUACGACCUACGGGUGAAAGCAGGGGAUCUUCGGACCUUGCGCGAUUGAAUGAGCCGAUGUCGGAUUAGCUAGUUGGCGGGGUAAAGGCCCACCAAGGCGACGAUCCGUAGCUGGUCUGGGAGGAGGAUCGGCCACACUGGAACUGAAACACGGUCCAGACUCCUACGGGAGGCAGCAGUGGGGAAUGUUGGACAAUGGGCGCAAGCCUGAUCCAGCCAUACCGCGUGGGUGAAAAAGGCCUUCGGGUUGUAAAGCCCUUUUGUUGGGAAAGAAAAGCAGCAGGUUAAGACCCCGCGGUUCUGACGGUACCCAAAGAAUAAGCACCGGCUAACUUCGUG